This 81-nucleotide small RNA is filed under the name Klebsiella aerogenes. Its description in RNAcentral is "isrK". Lineage: Bacteria; Pseudomonadati; Pseudomonadota; Gammaproteobacteria; Enterobacterales; Enterobacteriaceae. The record is from RNAcentral.
GCACCUCACAAAACGGGUGCCGGGUUUGACAGCCUGAACGUUCAAGCGGGUAGCCGCUAAUUUCCGUAUAGCGGUAUUUUU